AGAACGGAAGUAGCCCUGGUCUUACCUACGCUCGUGGACGAGUCGCGUGGAGCUGUCGGCUCCCUGUUCUGCGCGUGCGAUUGCGUUGAGACGCUCCGUGAGGUAUGCGGCGGUGGGAGCCUUGGGGCUGAUGACACGGGAGCUUCGGCGUGGAGGGAGGAGACUUCAUGCCUGUCACCUCGGCUUCCUGGCCUGGGUCUCCGGGUUUCGUGCUAAGCACAGUUGGCUUGGGAUGGGAGGUCUUAUUCCCUCAAUCCCCUCGGAGCUAGCAGUUCAUGCAAGCCAUGCUGUCCUCUGCAGGUACCUUAAGUGCCUUCUCUACGUGAUCGCCAGACUGUUUGGUGCCUCGGUCUCAUCGGGUCUAUAAUGGGAACUAUAGAGUCCCAGCGAAGUAGACCUUGUGAGCUAUACUGUUUCUACGAAGCAUGCACCCAUAACAGAACAAACCUUACAUUUUUCGUUCGUCGUCCCUUUCACAGUCUCACUCGGCUACUAAAGUUUUCUUCCUAGGUAUCCCAGAACCAACCAGGCUGCCCUGCGUCUUCAUUUAUACCUCGUCUUGGUUCUCAUGGUUUCCCUGAUGUGCAUCGUUUAAAUCCUUACACUGGCUUUCACUUCUGUCCAAUCUGUAGACUGAGGAAUAUUCUCCAUUAUUUUGUCACGUUCCCCAUGGCUCUGAAGUACCAAGUAAACGCAAACUAUUAAUUUUUUAAGUAUCUUUCACCAAAGAGCCAAAUUAUUUUCUAAAAUAUAAGUUGUUACCAUGCUUUAUUUUCCCUGUAGCUUAAUUGAAUAAUUCAGCUUUUUAGAAAGCCUUUGAAGAGUUGUUUGACAGGCAACUGGUUGGUGUAUUUUGAGAAAUAAACUUUUUCUUUCUUUCUUUCUUUCUUUUUUUUUUUUUUUUUUUGAGACAUAGUUUCUCUGUAUAGCUCUGGCUGUCCUGGAACUCACUUUGUAGACCAGGCUGGCCUCGAACUCAGAAAUCCGCCUGCCUCUGCCUCCCAAAGUGCUGGGAUUAAAGGCAUGUGUCAUCACGCCUGGCAAACUUUUUCUUGUUUCUCUGUUGUUGUUGUUGUUGUUGUUGUUUUUAGCAUUGUCUACCAUCAUAUUUCUAUUUACUAUUAUUAUAGUUAUUUUUGAGACAGGGUCUCAUUAUGGAGUCCUGUCUUGUCUGAAACUCACAGAGAUAGGCCUUCCUCUGCCUCCCAAGUGCUGGAGUUAAAGGCAUGGACCACCAGACCCGGUUCUUUAUUUAUUUAAUGUACAGCUCAAAAGCAUCAUUCUUAUGAAGUGUUCAUCUUUACAGAAUCCUGCCACUUCUCUUUUGUUUAUGCAUUAUAAUCUGACUUGUAUCUUAAAUUACUUUUUUCCCCCCUGAGACAGGGUUUCUCUGUAUAGCCCUGGCUGUCCUGGAACUCACUCUGUAGACCAGGCUGGCCUUGAACUCAAAAUCCGCCUGCCUCUGCCUCCCAAGUGCUGGGAUUAAAGGCGUGCGCCACCACUGCCCGGCUUACCUUAAUUUACCUACAUUUUGUUUUCUAAAUAAUGUAUGUUUGGCGGUAUGGAAUUAUAUAUAUAUACACACACCUCACAUAAUUACAAUGAUUAACACUAAAUGAACAUUUGCUACAUAGAAUGCAUUUCCUGGAAGAUCGUGCACAGUGUAUAGUUUGUGGUUUUGAGGUAGACAAUAUUGG
This 1697-nucleotide long non-coding RNA is filed under the name Mus musculus (house mouse). RNAcentral describes it as "long non-coding RNA chr19:47090765-47092462". Lineage: Eukaryota; Metazoa; Chordata; Mammalia; Rodentia; Muridae. The record is from RNAcentral.